GUCUAUGACCAUAUCCCCCUGCCUGUACCUGAUCUCAUCUGAGUUCAAAAGUUAAGCAGGGUGGGGCCUGGUUAGUACUCUGAUGGGAGUUUGGUACUAUCUAUG
RNAcentral lists this ribosomal RNA (105 nucleotides) under Callithrix jacchus (white-tufted-ear marmoset). The record is from RNAcentral. Lineage: Eukaryota; Metazoa; Chordata; Mammalia; Primates; Cebidae.